CUUGCGGUUAGGCAUUUAAUCUCAAGGCAAGUUUUAUCGACAAGCCAUUACUCACCAAUAUGGCCUUUGGUAACAUUGGAGCACAGCGACUGUUUCCAAACUGCAGAAUCCCACCAAAAUUCACUGAUAAUUCCACCAGACAAUACAUUAGAGAUGUAUGUGAGGACAAAAUUAUUUUCCUCUUAUUCUUGUUUUGUCCAAAAUACUGAAAAUUUAAAAUUUGAUGGUCAUAUCAUGACAGGUACUUACUUAGGAAUUGAGAACAAAGAUUAAGUUUGAAUUAAAUAAUAUGCCAAACUUAUAUCUCCA
Pelobates cultripes (western spadefoot toad) is the source of this 309-nucleotide non-coding RNA. Lineage: Eukaryota; Metazoa; Chordata; Amphibia; Anura; Pelobatidae. The record is from the annotation of a GenBank genome assembly.